AAGUCGUAACAAGGUUUCCGUAGGUGAACCUGCGGAAGGAUCAUUAACACGUUAUCCACGUAUCAACCAACCGGUCAUUGUUUUCGCCUCUCCCUUGCGGAGUAAAUGAAUUGUGUAUUAACCUUCAACCGAGUAUGUCUGGGGUUCGCUUGCGAUCCAUCGGGUGAAGGCGAACCAGAGCUUGCUCUAGCAAUUGUAUUACUUUCCGAGGCUUACCGUUCUGUUCCAAUUUACCCAGAUUGCAAGUUGGGACAGGACAAAUAUUUUAACUAAAUUCACCCUUUUUUGCUAGUUGACUUUUAUCUGUAUAUUUCGCUUCGGCGUGGUAUGCACGUUUAUUUACUUAAACGUAAAAUUAUACAACUCUUAGCAAUGGAUAUCUCGGUUCUC
This 390-nucleotide unclassified non-coding RNA is filed under the name fungal sp. RNAcentral's name for it is "partial internal transcribed spacer region". The stretch from base 1 to 46 matches the Rfam family "Eukaryotic small subunit ribosomal RNA", at positions 1786 to 1831 of the family's 1831-position model. Lineage: Eukaryota; Fungi. The record is from RNAcentral.